AGUGAACGCUGGCGGUAGGCCUAACACAUGCAAGUCGAACGGCAGCACAGUAAGCUCUUGCUCUUACGGGUGGCGAGUGGCGGACGGGUGAGGAAUACAUCGGAAUCUACUUUUUCGUGGGGGAUAACGUAGGGAAACUUACGCUACUACCGCACACGACCUACGGGUGAAAGCAGGGGAUAUUCGGACCUUGCGCGAUUGAAUUAGCCGAUGUCGGAUUAGCUAGUUGGCGGGGUAAAGGCCCACCAAGGCGACGAUCCGUAGCUGGUCUGAGAGGAUGAUCAGCCACACUGGAACUGAGACACGGUCCAGACUCCUACGGGAGGCAGCAGUGGGGAAUAUUGGACAAUGGGCGCAAGCCUGAUCCAGCCAUACCGCGUGGGUGAAGAAGGCCUUCGGGUUGUAAAGCCCUUUUGUUGGGAAAGAAAAGCAGCAGGUUAAUACCCCGCUGUUCUGACGGUACCCAAAGAAUAAGCACCGGCUAACUUCGUG
This 492-nucleotide ribosomal RNA is filed under the name uncultured bacterium. RNAcentral's name for it is "partial 16S ribosomal RNA". It matches the Rfam family "Bacterial small subunit ribosomal RNA", at positions 29 to 507 of the family's 1533-position model. The record is from RNAcentral.